UUUCCGUAGGUGAACCUGCGGAAGGAUCAUUACCGAGUGCGGGUUCCAACGAGCCCAACCUCCCACCCGUGUUUACCAUGACCGCGUUGCCUCGGCGGGCCCACUGGGGCCUGGCCCCGGUCGCCGGGGGGCUUCUGCCCCCGGGUCCGCGCCCGCCGAAGCGCCCUGGAACCCUGUCUGAAUAGUGAGUCUGAGUGAAUGAUUUAAUCAUUAAAACUUUCAACAACGGAUCUCUUGGUUCCG
Molecule: unclassified non-coding RNA, 243 nt
Filed under: plant metagenome
Description: partial contains small subunit ribosomal RNA, internal transcribed spacer 1, and 5.8S ribosomal RNA
Source: RNAcentral